ACUAUGGAGUAUGAUGAGCCUAGAGUAGUAUUUUAUAUGAAAUAGCAUACGAUGAAAUAGUAA
Molecule: non-coding RNA, 63 nt
Filed under: unclassified sequences
Description: RAGATH-18 RNA
Rfam family: RAGATH-18 RNA
About the family: Actinobacteria, Firmicutes, Fusobacteria, Thermotogae (1 example). Nearby to self-cleaving ribozyme genes
Source: Rfam by way of RNAcentral